GCAACUGAUGCAUCUUCUAACCAGGCUGGGAACACAACACGCGCACACGCGCACACACACACGCACGCACCCACCCCACCCGGCUGCCGGACGCAAGCGUAAGUCAAGGCACUUGCAUGUUAGAAUCAGACAGAAAAUCCAGAAAAGCCACGUUAUUUAACAGAACCCUACAAGGUCAGCUUUGAGUCAAAGCAGGACGGAGCCCUGACAGCAAUGUUUGCUACGGCCUCCCUCUGCAGUCAGCCUAAAGCAAGGAGCUGGAGGUAGAUGAGGCAAAGGUAAAGGAGACCAAAACAGUAUUUUAAAGAAAAAAUCAUUUAUCUUCAAAUAGGCUCCAAACCUAAGAUGGUGUAUACUGUUAGAGGACAAGAACCUGCUUCUAGCCAUCUUUGCGUCUCCAGGACCUGACUUGUGACCAUUCAAUAAGAAUUUGAUAGAUGGACAGAUUAAUGAAUAGAUGAAGAUGAUUAGAAGCCAAAAUUUCUGAAUCUUCCUAGCAUCCAGAACAUGGCUUAACAUCAAGGAAAUGCUCACUAAAUACUGUCAUAAUGGAAUGAAUGGAACCGAUGCCUAAUUGAAAAUCAUUAGGCUGUAAACCAUUUCCAUGUUCCAAUUUCUU
Molecule: non-coding RNA, 619 nt
Filed under: Pan troglodytes (chimpanzee)
Lineage: Eukaryota; Metazoa; Chordata; Mammalia; Primates; Hominidae
Source: RNAcentral